This 471-nucleotide ribosomal RNA is filed under the name Vibrio anguillarum. RNAcentral's name for it is "bacterial SSU rRNA". It matches the Rfam family "Bacterial small subunit ribosomal RNA", at positions 57 to 526 of the family's 1533-position model. Lineage: Bacteria; Pseudomonadati; Pseudomonadota; Gammaproteobacteria; Vibrionales; Vibrionaceae. The record is from RNAcentral.
GCCAGCUGCUGACUUCGGGGGAGAUACGGCGUCGAGCGGCGGACGGGUGAGUAAUGCCUAGGAAAUUGCCCUGAUGUGGGGGAUAACCAUUGGAAACGAUGGCUAAUACCGCAUGAUGCCUACGGGCCAAAGAGGGGGACCUUCGGGCCUCUCGCGUCAGGAUAUGCCUAGGUGGGAUUAGCUAGUUGGUGAGGUAAGGGCUCACCAAGGCGACGAUCCCUAGCUGGUCUGAGAGGAUGAUCAGCCACACUGGAACUGAGACACGGUCCAGACUCCUACGGGAGGCAGCAGUGGGGAAUAUUGCACAAUGGGCGCAAGCCUGAUGCAGCCAUGCCGCGUGUGUGAAGAAGGCCUUCGGGUUGUAAAGCACUUUCAGUCGUGAGGAAGGUGGUGUAGUUAAUAGCUGCAUUAUUUGACGUUAGCGACAGAAGAAGCACCGGCUAACUCCGUGCCAGCACCGCCCGGUAAUAA